UAAUAAAUAGUUAAUUACUUACAGACUUGCAGACUACUCAGACUAGUACUUUAUUUACUCUCUCUCUCUUAGUCUCUUUUAAUUCUACAGAGCUUCAAGCCUUCAACUACGUUACUCUUUCGAUUCGGUCUUCACUCUUCACUCUCCCUACUCCGGUACUCCCUAGUCCCUUCUUCUUCAGUCUUCUACCGCCACUACCGUGCCGUUCUUCUUCCAUUAAAGCUCAGCGCCUCACCCUGCCUUCUCUCAAAGCUCAGCUAGCGCCGGCCGCCGGCCGCCGAGGACACGAAGUCGCGAACGUCGCAACCAACUGAACCAUAUCCAACGACUAGCGCCGACAGGCGACGGUAAGUCGUUACUCGUUAGAUGAUCUGUACUGUAGUCUGUAGAUCUGUAGUUCUGCACUCUUAGAUCUGAGAUCUGUAGUCCAUGCUUUUGGGGAAACACUUGUAUGAUGUUUUUGUAGUACAAUGCUUCCUAAAAUUCUACUUGAAUCAAACUUUUGCCAAUCUUUUUGAUUACAUAUAUUUGAGAAUUUUACUGUUAUCUGUUAAGAUAACUAUCGUCUAUCAAACACAUCUAUCUACAUGCACAUGAGAAUUUUAUUGUUGUCUGUUAAGAUAACUUGUAUGUUGUCUGUUAAGAAUUUUACUGUUUCUCUUAUUUGCACUAUUGAAAUUUGCGAAUUGAAACUCAACUUUUGCAUUCAUGUGUAAAUUCAUCAAAAAUGGGAUUAUGGGACUGAGUUACAAAUUGUGAAGUUACAAAUUGGGACUGAGUUACAAAUGGGAUUAUUUGUGCUCAAGAUUGGCUUCGCCGAAGCAACGAACCAAUUGAUAUCGAAGAAAAGUUAGAAUCCCUUGAAGAAAUUGAAAAAGGUUUCAAAUUGAAAAAGGUACAUCACAGUAACACAAUAAAACUUUGUAUUGUUUAUUUAUUUUUUUGUAAUGUAGUUUAAAUUCUUCUUAAUAAAUUAUGAUUUGCUCACAUUUGUCUUUUAAAAAUUGCAGAAUUUUCAGCAGGCGAUUUAGAUGCAUCAAUCUUGGAUAUGUAAUAUGGUUGAUUUGUUCGAGAAUGUGGACUUGAUAGUUGAGAGAAUUGUGCCUUGUGCCGUUGUGCGUUGUUUGUUUUUAAUCUUGGAUUAGUUGGAUAUGUAAUAUGGUUGAUUGGAUUACUUGCUAGUGAGUAGUGGGUACUUUAGUUCUGUUAUGUUCAGCUGAUAAAAUGAUGUUAUGUUCUGUUAUGUUCAGUUUAUCAGGUUAUGUUUUAUCAUAUGGUUAUGACUUAUGAGGUUAUNNN
RNAcentral lists this long non-coding RNA (1299 nucleotides) under Panax ginseng (ginseng). RNAcentral describes it as "long non-coding RNA (PGIN_LNC005707)". The record is from RNAcentral. Lineage: Eukaryota; Viridiplantae; Streptophyta; Magnoliopsida; Apiales; Araliaceae.